CCUACGGGAGGCUGCAGUGAGGAAUAUUGGUCAAUGGGCGAGAGCCUGAACCAGCCAAGUAGCGUGAAGGAUGAAGGCUCUAUGGGUCGUAAACUUCUUUUAUAUGGGAAUAAAGUUUUCCACGUGUGGAAUUUUGUAUGUACCAUAUGAAUAAGGAUCGGCUAACUCCGUGCCAGCAGCCGCGGUAAUACGGAGGAUCCGAGCGUUAUCCGGAUUUAUUGGGUUUAAAGGGAGCGUAGGUGGAUUGUUAAGUCAGUUGUGAAAGUUUGCGGCUCAACCGUAAAAUUGCAGUUGAAACUGGCAGUCUUGAGUACAGUAGAGGUGGGCGGAAUUCGUGGUGUAGCGGUGAAAUGCUUAGAUAUCACGAAGAACUCCGAUUGCGAAGGCAGCUCACUAGACUGUAACUGACACUGAUGCUCGAAAGUGUGGGUAUCAAACAGGAUUAGAUACCCGUGUAGUC
This 460-nucleotide ribosomal RNA is filed under the name Escherichia coli. Its description in RNAcentral is "bacterial SSU rRNA". It matches the Rfam family "Bacterial small subunit ribosomal RNA", at positions 338 to 795 of the family's 1533-position model. The record is from RNAcentral. Lineage: Bacteria; Pseudomonadati; Pseudomonadota; Gammaproteobacteria; Enterobacterales; Enterobacteriaceae.